GCGUGGGUGGCUCAGUCGGUUAAGCAUCUGACUUCACCUCAGGUCAUGAUCUCAUCGUAGGUGGGUUCAAGUCCCACCUGGGGCU
Molecule: transfer RNA, 85 nt
Filed under: Felis catus (domestic cat)
Lineage: Eukaryota; Metazoa; Chordata; Mammalia; Carnivora; Felidae
Also listed under: 1 other name
Rfam family: tRNA
About the family: Transfer RNA (tRNA) molecules are approximately 80 nucleotides in length.
Source: Rfam by way of RNAcentral